Oncorhynchus tshawytscha (Chinook salmon) is the source of this 2660-nucleotide long non-coding RNA. RefSeq lists it as uncharacterized. The record is from RefSeq and is a predicted model, not a curated record. NCBI's taxonomy places the organism in Eukaryota, Metazoa, Chordata, Actinopteri, Salmoniformes, Salmonidae. The transcript has 3 exons.
GGGUUCUGUUUGUGCUCUCUCUCUUUCUCUCUUCAUACAUCUCUUCUCACCUCCCUCUCCUCCCUCACUUGUGUAGUGACAGGUUGUAUAUAUAUUGUGAUGUCUUUCGUCCAUGUCUGUAUGUAAAGUACCGUAAGAUGAUUUAAAGAUGAGCUCUUCUAAUCUUGAUUCUUUUUUGAUUGGUUAGGUACAUGUAGUUCAGAGGGUUGGUUACCAUGGUUAGGUACAUGUAGUUCAGAGGGUUGGUUACCAUGGUUAGGUACAUGUAGUUCAGAGGGUUGGUUACCAUGGUUAGGUACAUGUAGUUCAGAGGGUUGGUUACCAUGGUUAGGUACAUGUAGUUCAGAGGGUUGGUUACCAUGGUUAGGUACAUGUAAUUCAGAGGGUUGGUUACCAUGGUUAGGUACAUGUAGUUCAGAGGGUUGGUUACCAUGGUUAGGUACAUGUAGUUCAGAGGGUUGGUUACCAUGGUUAGGUACAUGUAGUUCAGAGGGUUGGUUACCAUGGUUAGGUACAUGUAGUUCAGAGGGUUGGUUACCAUGGUUAGGUACAUGUAGUUCAGAGGGUUGGUUACCAUGGUUAGGUACAUGUAGUUCAGAGGGUUGGUUAACGUGGUUAGAUACAGUACAUGUAGUUCAGAGGGUUGGUUACCAUGGUUAGGUACAGUACAUGUAGUUCAGAGGGUUAGUUACCAUGGUUAGGUACAUGUAGUUCAGAGGGUUGGUUACCAUGGUUAGGUACAUGUAGUUCAGAGGGUUGGUUACCAUGGUUAGGUACAUGUAGUUCAGAGGGUUGGUUACCAUGGUUAGGUACAUGUAGUUCAGAGGGUUGGUUACCAUGGUUAGGUACAUGUAGUUCAGAGGGUUGGUUACCAUGGUUAGGUACAUGUAGUUCAGAGGGUUGGUUACCAUGGUUAGGUACAUGUAGUUCAGAGGGUUGGUUACCAUGGUUAGGUACAUGUAGUUCAGAGGGUUGGUUACCAUGGUUAGGUACAUGUAGUUCAGAGGGUUGGUUACCAUGGUUAGGUACAUGUAGUUCAGAGGGUUGGUUACCAUGGUUAGGUACAUGUAGUUCAGAGGGUUGGUUACCAUGGUUAGGUACAUGUAGUUCAGCGGGUUGGUAACCAUGGUUAUGUACAUGUAAUUCAGAGGGUUGGUUACCAUGGUUAGGUAGAUGUAGUUCAGAGGGUUAGUUACCAUGGUUAGGUACAUGUAGUUCAGAGGGUUGGUUACCAUGGUUAGGUACAUGUAGUUCAGAGGGUUGGUUACCAUGGUUAGGUACAUGUAGUUCAGAGGGUUGGUUACCAUGGUUAGGUACAUGUAGUUCAGCGGGUUGGUAACCAUGGUUAUGUACAUGUAAUUCAGAGGGUUGGUUACCAUGGUUAGGUAGAUGUAGUUCAGAGGGUUAGUUACCAUGGUUAGGUACAUGUAGUUCAGAGGGUUGGUUACCAUGGUUAGGUACAUGUAGUUCAGAGGGUUGGUUACCAUGGUUAGGUAGAUGUAGUUCAGAGGGUUGGGAUGAGAAAGUAGAGUCACUGGACUUUAAUAUCACCAUUACAGUAACUCACAUUCACCCAUUUGAUUGAUUCUGAACUACAUGGUGUGUGGGGAAAUGGCUCUGUGUCACGGUGUCUGACCACUGUAAGGGCUUGAGUUAUAUCAGUGAUUGUCAUAAACAGAGUAUACUAUAGCAAAGCAAUUGGUGUGGCCACUCUGGGCUAUUGGUUAUGUGAGUGUGGACCCUGCUAGUUUGGGUGAAUACACCUCAGAGUUAGGAAUGGGGGUCAAAGGGGUUGAGUGGUAAUAUGCUGUAUUGACUGCAGAGCUGCAUGCAGAGCAAUACUAUACAGCUCCAUUGGUUGGUUAUUUAGGAAUAACAACACACACACACACACACACACACACACACAUCCUAUCAUCUCCCCACCCCCUGUGGGGUACUGCAAGUAGAAAACCAGACUGUGUGGAUCAAUAGCAGAGGCUAUCCUGCUGUUCCAAGGACCUGGGACCGAGACAGAGACGGAGAGAAAGAGACAGAGCGAGAGGAAACAGAGAGAAAGAAGCCUGAGAGAGAGAGGGAGCCCCACAGUAGGUCGAUACAGCUCUGAUACGGCUCCGGUAGAGCUCUGGGACCCUGCUGGUACAGUUCAGCUCAGGUCCCUAGCCGUCGUGGAGGGCCCCACUCUCCAUCUUAUUAGGACAGAUUGGUGCUGCCGGGCCUGGGGUCCGGAGCUGGGGUGGCCCCCUGUAUGGAUCAGCACAGCUGGCUCUAGGUCAGGGGUCAGCAGGGGUUGACAGGGGCCUGUAGGGGCCGGUCACUGAGCCACUCAGCAGAGAGAGAGAAAGCUUCCCACUGGUGUAUUGUGAGAGGGAAGCAUGCGGAGGGCCAGGGCAGCACACAGCUGAGAAUGGGCUCACAGCCUGGUAAUGUUUCUGUCACAUUACCACUGAUGGGAUAGAGGAGAUGGGCCAAACACACACACACACACACACUAUGUGUAGUUAAACGUGAGGAUGUGAGGCUGAACAUGAUCUGGUACAUUCACAUUCAGUAUACACAUAGACAGCUGUUUUCUACCCCAUGCUGCAAGUGAUUUCUCUCCCCCAUCCUCCUCCACAAUGGGGGUGAGAUGGGGAGAGAGAGAGAGAGAGAGACCGAGA